UAAGACUGAGAACCGAUGACGAGGUCCCUUGAGGACUGAAGUUGUUGAUGCCAUGCUUCCAGGAAAAGCUUCUAAGCUUCAGGUUAUAACGAACCGUACCCCAAACCGACACAGGUGGUCAGGUAGAGAAUACUAAGGCGCAUGAGAGAACUCGGGUGAAGGAACUAGGCAAAAUGGUGCCGUAACUUCGGGAGAAGGCACGCUGCUGGCGGUGAUGAGCUUUACGCUCUAAGCUGCUGGCAGUCGAAGAUACCAGGUGGCUGCGACUGUUUAUUAAAAACAUAGCACUCUGCAAACACGAAAGUGGACGUAUAGGGUGUGACGCCUGCCCGGUGCCGGAAGGUUAAUUGAUGGGGUUAGCUUCGGCGAAGCUCUUGAUCGAAGCCCCGGUAAACGGCGGCCGUAACUAUAACGGUCCUAAGGUAGCGAAAUUCCUUGUCGGGUAAGUUCCGACCUGCACGAAUGGCGUAACGAUGGCCACACUGUCUCCACCCGAGACUCAGUGAAAUUGAAAUCGCUGUGAAGAUGCAGCGUACCCGCGGCUAGACGGAAAGACCCCGUGAACCUUUACUAUAGCUUCACAGUGGACUUUGACAUUACUUGUGUAGGAUAGCUGGGAGGCUUUGAAGCAUGGUCGCUAGAUCGUGUGGAGCCAAACUUGAAAUACCAGCCUGGUACUGUUGAGGUUCUAACUCUGUUCCCUUAUCGGGAUCGAGGACAUUGUGUGGUGGGUAGUUUGACUGGGGCGGUCUCCUCCCAAAGAGUAACGGAGGAGCACGAAGGUACCCUCAGCAUGGUCGGAAAUCAUGCAUUGAGUGCAAGCGCAUAAGGGUGCUUAACUGCGAGACAGACACGUCGAGCAGGUACGAAAGUAGGUGCUAGUGAUCCGGUGGUUCUGUAUGGAAGGGCCAUCGCUCAACGGAUAAAAGGUACUCCGGGGAUAACAGGCUGAUUCCUCCCAAGAGUUCACAUCGACGGGGGAGUUUGGCACCUCGAUGUCGGCUCAUCACAUCCUGGGGCUGAAGCCGGUCCCAAGGGUAUGGCUGUUCGCCAUUUAAAGUGGUACGCGAGCUGGGUUUAGAACGUCGUGAGACAGUUCGGUCCCUAUCUGCCGUGGGCGUUUGAGAUUUGAGAAGAGUUGCUCCUAGUACGAGAGGACCGGAGUGAACGAACCUCUGGUGUUCCGGUUGUCACGCCAGUGGCAUUGCCGGGUAGCUACGUUCGGACGGGAUAACCGCUGAAAGCAUCUAAGCGGGAAGCCCCCUUCAAGAUGAGAUCUCGCUGGGAACUUGAUUCCCCUAAAGAGCCGUUUAAGACUAAGACGUUGAUAGGCUGGGUGUGGAAGCGCUGCGAGGCGUUGAGCUAACCAGUACUAAUUGCUCGUGAGGCUUGACCAU
Molecule: ribosomal RNA, 1397 nt
Filed under: Neptunomonas japonica DSM 18939
Lineage: Bacteria; Pseudomonadati; Pseudomonadota; Gammaproteobacteria; Oceanospirillales; Oceanospirillaceae
Description: bacterial LSU rRNA
Rfam family: Bacterial large subunit ribosomal RNA
Source: RNAcentral